RNAcentral lists this unclassified non-coding RNA (216 nucleotides) under fungal sp. Its description in RNAcentral is "partial internal transcribed spacer region". The stretch from base 1 to 46 matches the Rfam family "Eukaryotic small subunit ribosomal RNA", at positions 1786 to 1831 of the family's 1831-position model. Lineage: Eukaryota; Fungi. The record is from RNAcentral.
AAGUCGUAACAAGGUUUCCGUAGGUGAACCUGCGGAAGGAUCAUUACCUAGAGUUUGUGGGCUUUGCCUGCUAUCUCUUACCCAUGUCUUUUGAGUACCUUACGUUUCCUCGGCGGGUCCGCCCGCCGACUGGACAAUUUAAACCAUUUGCAGUUGCAAUCAGCGUCUGAAAAACUUUAAUAGUUACAACUUUCAACAACGGAUCUCUUGGUUCUG